AUCUGCUGCCGACCGUUCUGAUGAUUGUAAUUAUCCUACUACAGAUAAGUAAAAAGCCAAUAUAAUUUCGCUGCUGAAUAAGCAAAUUAAAUGCAUUAUUAAAUGCGCAUUCACUUCCUUAUAGGCUAAUGGUACAAAGAUAAAACUUAAAUAUAAAACUGGAAGAGAUCAAAAAUUAAAUAAGCACUUUUAUAAAUAAAUAAAUAAAUAAAGGGCGUGUGUGCGCAUGUGCGCGUGUAGUCACAUAAGACUUAAUUGGUCUGUGGUUUCAUCAUCUAAACCAUAAUCUGAAACCUCGGCAAAAACAUUACAACGUAUAUUGAAUGACGCUUCACGAUCUCCACGUGAACAAAGCUGUGUUAGCUCAUCUAAACCUAUUGUAGUUUCCUCAAUCCUCAUACAGCCGAAGAAAGCAAGCAACGAAACUGCUCACCGUUGAGGGGUGCCUUGUCAGAAGUGAAGCAGCAUAUCUGUGAUUCAAGGUCCCCCUCUAGUGGUGCCUAGCGGGCACUGGACCAUUGAGGAACAGAAUGAAGAUAGAAAGGUGAUCAAGCCUUUUCUGUGCAGGUCCCUAAAUUAUGAAUUUCUUUACCAGAGAACAUCAGAGCAGGCGUUGAAGGCCCCCUAGAACUGGGGUGAGCACUGAGGAAGGAGAGACCACUGGUACAUCCAGAAAGUGGUAUGGGCCAAUGGAUGAGGCACCUCUAGUCAUCUCCAGCAUUGUACCUUCAGUCACCUCCAGCAUUACACCUCCAGUCACUAUAGACUCAUCUGACCGGGAUGGUGUAGUGGCCUCUCCUCUCCUUGUACACCCCAGGGAUCCCACCACCAUUGGGCCAGACAUCCCAGUGAAAAGAAGGGAGAAGGGAGCCAGGCUUUUGGAGCAGACUCUGGUUACAGAGGCUGUCCCCUGGCAGCUGCUGGGCUGGCUGGUUGUCAUGGUUGUCAUCGACUUCAUCCCCAUCUGUCUGACCAUUCUCUUCCUCAGCAACCUCAUCGGGCUCCACAUUGUCACCAUAUGAGAGGCAGGGAUUGUGGAGCAUGACACUGCAGGAAAUCACUACUGGAGAAAGGUAGACUUCACCUAAAAGCACAGAAUCUUUGCGCUGAAUCUUUCCCGUCAGUGCUUCCAGCCACAUGCAGAAAUGCAGGGGAGCCAGCCAGGCGGGCAAACCCAGCACCAAUUUCCUCUUGCACAUCCGGAGAUGGGAAAUGGACCACCCUCUAUCUAUUGCCAUGAUGCCUUCAGCGACCCUGUGCACCACAUCCUGGAUGGUGGUGCGGGGCAUAUCAAAGGCCUUUGAGACCACACGGUAUGAUGUUGGGCUGGCUAGCCAGUACACUGAAGCACCAACCUCCAGUGCUUUCCCCCAACCAUGAUCAAACUCUCCCUCAAGAGCCUGAAACAGUGUGUUUAGGCUUUGUCUGAAGAGACAGAAAUCCUUCUUAAGGUCUCCACCCCAGGGGUGUCGUAGUGGGGGGAAAAGUGGGACAGACUACCCAGGGCCCGAAUGGGGGGAGGACCCUCGAAAAGCCUGGAAUGUUGCGUGAGCGACAUGGAUCAAGAGAGGAAGGGGACCCACAGAGAUUGCUUAUGUAUAGGGCCAAGAAUUGUGUGGUACACCCCUGUCUCCAUCACCAAAGUAGAGACAAAGGACAGGGGUGUUGCGGUUCAAAGAAUUAUAAGAACCUCAAAACCUAUAUAAUAUGUAUGUAUGUGUUCAUUGUUUUUAUUUGUCUAUUUGUAUAUGUAUUCAUUCAGUUGGGGCAUUGAUGGCCCAGUGGUACAGCUCCCACCUGCCACGCCGGUGGCGUGGGUUCGUGUCCUGGCCAAUGCCCCAAAAACCCAGCCACUGGGGAUGCGCAAUUCGUAGUAGUGCCGGUCCCAAGUAGUGCCGGUCCCAAGCCCGGAUAAAAUGGGAGGGUUACGUCAGGAAGGGCAUCCAGCGUAAAACAUAUGCCAAAUCAAACCUGCGGAUCAGGAUGAUCCGCUGUGGCAACCCCGAAAGAAGAAAAACAAAAAUGUAUUCAUUCAGUUGUUACCCAAUGGACAUAUCUAUGUUUUUUAAUUUUUAUUUAUGCUUAUAUUCAUCCAUUGGUGACUGUACUGUAUGUCAAGCUAUGUUCAUUUGAAUGAUUAAUAAAUUAAUAAAUAUUUUAAACAACUGGUGUAUAUUUGUAGGAGAUUUAUUUCUUUUUGCAUAUAAACCACUAUGUGUGUGAGUGUGACUAUUAAAUUAUAGCCUAAUAAAUUAUGUCAAAUUAUAUUUAAAAACUUUGCACCAAUACUUUAACUGUGAUAAUUAUUUGCUAGUAUGUAACCAAACAUGUAACCAAGAACCUCUUAGAAUAUUAGCUAGUUAUGUUAGUCCAUUUACACUGGAUUCAUGUUCAAAAAUCUAGGGCAUAAUUUCCAUUUGUUGAAAUGCCUGUCUCCACCUCCUCUGAGCCUCAUUAUUGGAUUGAACAAUGGAAAAGUAGGAGGUUUGGAAAAAAGUACCGAUUAGCACUGUCAUAUUCUAGUAGAAAUCUAGAAAGCCGACAUGUCUGAGGAAAAAUUAGUUGUCUCUGAGGUUAACUUUUUUUGACGUCAUGUGACAAUUAUUCAGUACACUACAGUAUGUAUAAUUUAUGGUUGUAUCCUGUGUACUGUACUGUAUAGUACUAUGCAGAGCAGUAUGUAGUGCACAGCACAUACUAUUGUAUGUAGUACGCGGUUUCAAACACGGCCUAUUUCUCUAAAACAUUUUAGUGGAAACAUUUGUAUUCAGGUUAUAUUAACUUAA
This is a long non-coding RNA of Anguilla rostrata (American eel), 2786 nucleotides long. RefSeq lists it as uncharacterized. The record is from RefSeq and is a predicted model, not a curated record. The transcript has 4 exons. NCBI's taxonomy places the organism in Eukaryota, Metazoa, Chordata, Actinopteri, Anguilliformes, Anguillidae.